This 253-nucleotide ribosomal RNA is filed under the name uncultured bacterium. RNAcentral describes it as "partial 16S ribosomal RNA". It matches the Rfam family "Bacterial small subunit ribosomal RNA", at positions 524 to 776 of the family's 1533-position model. The record is from RNAcentral.
UACGUAGGGGGCAAGCGUUGUCCGGAAUCAUUGGGCGUAAAGAGCGCGUAGGCGGCCCUGUAAGUCCGCUGUGAAAGUCAAGGGCUCAACCCUUGAAUGCCGGUGGAUACUGCAGGGCUAGAGUCCGGAAGAGGCGGGUGGAAUUCCUGGUGUAGCGGUGAAAUGCGCAGAUAUCAGGAAGAACACCUAUGGCGAAGGCAGCUCUCUGGGACGGUACUGACGCUGAGACGCGAAAGCGUGGGGAGCGAACAGG